GCCCCCAUGGUGUAGCGGUUAGCACGGCGCCCUUUCACGGCGUUAGCACGGGUUCGAUCCCCGUUGGGGGUA
RNAcentral lists this transfer RNA (72 nucleotides) under uncultured Solirubrobacteraceae bacterium. Its description in RNAcentral is "tRNA-Glu-TTC". It matches the Rfam family "tRNA". Rfam says of the family: Transfer RNA (tRNA) molecules are approximately 80 nucleotides in length. Their secondary structure includes four short double-helical elements and three loops (D, anti-codon, and T loops). The record is from RNAcentral. Lineage: Bacteria; Bacillati; Actinomycetota; Thermoleophilia; Solirubrobacterales; Solirubrobacteraceae.